Molecule: long non-coding RNA, 1006 nt
Organism: Triticum dicoccoides
Lineage: Eukaryota; Viridiplantae; Streptophyta; Magnoliopsida; Poales; Poaceae
Exons: 5
Source: RefSeq, a predicted model, not a curated record
CCUUAUGCUGCCCCGUCCAGCCGCCGCCACGACCGGUGCUCCCUGCCCAAUCCCAAGACCAGCCGUCGGCUCCGCUCCGCGGCCAGCCGCCGCCACGCUGGUCGCUUCCAAGCCAGUCUCCCGGUUAGCCGCCGCCACGCCCGACGCUCUGCCGGCCAGCCGCCGUCGCCGCGACCGACGCUCCUCCGCCGGUUGCCGGUGCCACGAACUGACGUACAGUACCAUAUUUUGAUUGAUUUAACACAUGCUCCUGCAAAUCUGAAUCCCCGUUGGAUAGAGUGAAAACAUGCAGGUCUUGAGAUUCCGUCAUAUCUCGUUUAGACUUGCGGUUGGCUAAUUCUUCAGAUUCUCCAUGUUGAAGUCCCCCUGGUCUUGCUUGCUGGCAAGCACAUCAAUUAUUUGCUAAAAUGUCAUGCUAAAAAAGGAUUCCUUCCGCUUGAAUUGUGGUGUCCACAACUAUCCUGCAAAAUUUGGAAUCAACAACAUAUGCAUGGAAAUAUUCACAGUAUAUGCUGAUGUACAUCAAAUUUCUCCUUCGUCCAUGGUGUUGUAAAUCAAGAAAAGAAAUAUUCAUGCAGCCAUAUCAACAGCCAACUGCCCCUUCUCAAAUCAUGUUGUAUUUAUUGACUUCUCACAUUUUAAGUCCAUUUUCUGGAAGUUAACAAUUUUCAUAUUAGUUUUAUGCCUGGAGCAAGUCGAGUCGAUUCUCUAAUCAUAACAUGCAUAUUUCAUGUCUUUCAGGUACUGUGACACUAGCUUUAUGAUGGGGAUAUGAAGUGCGCAUCCAGAAUUGACUAAAUUUCAUAGUCGAAGAAAAAGAGGGCGAUGGUUGGCAAGAAUGAUAAUAGUGCGGACUGAGUUAAGAGGGACUUGAUCAGUAUGAGAAAAACUAUUUCUUGCAUGUUGCUUUGGUAAUAUUUUGUUUGGGCAUAUAGUGAGCCCACUUAAGAAAUCAGAUUAUGUACUAACAAUAUGUGUAUUGUUCUCUUGCUUGCAUGUUCAGUUU